AUUUUUGUUAGAAUUAGAUUAUAACUGCCAUAAGAAGUUACUUUAUGCCCAAAGCGCUACAUACGCCUUCUUUGUAUAUAGGCACCUGUUCCCUACGAACAGGCAUCUUUUCAUCUAAGAGACGCCUCCUCUUGUUACCGACUUCCCGAAGAGACGGGACCUUGUAUAAAUACCUCCUCCUACGAACAGGCAUCUUUUCAUCAAUGAAAGAACAAGUUUUCACUUCAUUCUUUACACGUUAUCAGCCACGUUAGUUCUACCGAAGAGCAAAACCAACGAGAGGAAGGGAGCGAGCACUCGCCGAUGGUAAGAUGUUCGGCCUCAUCUCGUUCCUUCCUUCGCCUCAGCCACGAGGACGGCCCUCGUUGCCGUCUCGUCGCUCAUUGCCGCAUGCAAGCCAUCCGUCAGUUCGGCCGUCACGCCGCUGGACGAGGCGCACGUGGUGGUGAUAUGGCCGCAGGCUCCUGCGCCGCUGGACACAGCCUCGAUGCCGCUGCUCAUGCACCGCCGGUGAACAUGCGGUUUGACCCCUUGCUGGUGGCCGGCCCGAGCGCCCCAAUGGUGCACGCGGACGCCGCCGCGCCUGCACCAGUUCCCUGGACUACGCCUCCACCCCCUCCUCCGCUGGUGGAUAGGUUCGCGCCACCGACGGCGACUGCCGCAGAUGAGGCCGCCGGCUGUAGCCACGCCCCAUCUUGCUUCACCCCUGUGCCGAUGCACGCCGCGGUGGACGUGCGUGACGAGCCCUUCCCGAGCUGUGGAGGCGGCGUCGUCUGCGGCCGCGGCCCUCGGGCAGACCUCCGCUGCGGGACUACGGCCUCCAGGUCGGCUGCCGCUCCCGCUCCGCCCGGCCGUGCCCGUGGCCGCCCAGCCUCGACUAGCCGCCGCCCGGCCGUGCCCGUGGCCGCCACCGCGCCUACCGUCCCUGACGCCGGCCACCCUCUCCAGCCCGCCGUCGGCUUCGCCUUCAAGCGGCUGCGGCCGAGGCCGCCGUGCCGGCGCGUGGAGCCCGGCCGCGCUUGGGCUCGCGAAUGGCGUCUCCAACAGCGUCGCGCCGGGCACUCCACUACCCGGAGGAUCCUCCGACGAGGACAGGCGCGGUGGGAGCUCCUCCCGUCGCCUGUAAUGCGGCCAUGGCGAUGUCCGUCUCGGUGCUAUCGAGAGUUUUGGGGAUGAAUCGCUGGGAUUUUUUUCCUUGGGUUGGCUCUCCUUAUCCACUCCUUUGACCAGCGCCGGAUUGCCCUACGUGGCCUGGAGCCCAUGUGUUGUCGCUGGGCACCCAUGUGCUGCCGACGGUAGGCAUCAACGGGAUUUCUUUAUUUGCUAUUUGCUUGAUCGAUGCAUUAGUACUAUUUCACUAUGUGAGCAAAUAACACUAGUUCAAGCAGUAGUUUUAUUCCUGUUUAGGUUGUUAAAUUCAGUACAACUAUUUUAAAAAAAAUGAGACCAACCCAAGGGCUAAUCCUCGUUGGCUUUUCUUUAUAGGAGAAACUCCGUGAGCACCACGUGUCCGUGCCGGAACUCGAACUCGGGUGGGCUGGCAGCAACCUCAGCUGCCCAGCCAACGGGUCGACGCCCCGUCCUCCAGUACAACUAUUUUAGUACUGUUUUCUGUUGAGUGCCGAUGUAUUUCAAAUCCUAAAUUAAUGUAAUAUAUUUUCAUGUUUGCCACGUGUCGAGAUUAAUUGCAUCUAUUUGCAGUUGAGAUUUCAAAUCUCUUGCAAAAUAUAUUCAGUACCUUUAUAGUACUGUUUCUCUAUUGAGUAUGCAGUAUUCCGGAAUAUUUCUAUAAUGUAUCUAUUUCCAUGUUAAACACAUGUCGAGAAUAAUACAUCUAUUUGCAAUUGAGAUUUUCAA
RNAcentral lists this long non-coding RNA (1857 nucleotides) under Triticum aestivum (bread wheat). Its description in RNAcentral is "long non-coding RNA (TAES_LNC008472)". The record is from RNAcentral. Lineage: Eukaryota; Viridiplantae; Streptophyta; Magnoliopsida; Poales; Poaceae.